GCUGCCAUUCCCCACAGGGAGAGCAUGUGGGAAAUGGCAGCUUAAUAGUUUUCUUGACUCUUCGCCUGUGAUUUAAAAACGUACCUAGAAAAGAUUAAUGCAAGAAGAUUUUCCCUUUUUUGUUUAAAAUUAAGCGUAGAUAUGCUGUAUAUAUAUCCAUAAACGAUACUGAUGAAAUGAGAGUAUAUAUAAGGUACCGGGAGUUCAUUACAAGCAAACGCAUUCACUUUAAUUGCCCAUGGAAGUAAAAUACUUUAUAACCUUUUCUUAAAUGCUCGUAUCUCCUGAUCGAUUCAAGUGCACUUAAUUGGAUUGCUUUUAUUUACAACAUUCUCUGGUCGUUUCCAUUCGCCACAACAACCGUACUGAGUGCAAAACAAACCACACGUCUCCAAUCUUACCAAUUUUCUUUAAUAAUCAAGAAUUGCGAUAUAUUCGAUAAUACCGCGUACAUUACGCUGUGGGCACGUUGUUACAUUUAGCUGUCGCUUAUAUAGACCGUAAUGCAGUAGCAAAUGUAACAUCGUAAUGAGUCGGGAACAAACGUUGAGAUUUUAGUGCUUUGUAAAUCGGAUAUGUGCCUGAAUUAAUUUAUAGAAUUAUGGUUAAAAAUUGGAGUCAAGCCUAAUACACUUUUCCAAUUUGCAUUAAGAUUUUGACAAUUGAAUCUAGUAUUUCAUAGAACUGAAUCAAUCAAAUGAAAUACAACAGUCGACAUUCUUGGUAUUACUUCUUGUGUAAUCAAAAAUAAUGUUUAAAGAUUGAAAUAUAUAUAAACUUUGGAAGUAGUGGCUAUUAUUUUAAAUUCACAUAAGAUACCUUCGUGUCUAGUGGUUAAUGAGUACAACACUUCUUUGUAUGGUUGUUUUUCUGCUAUAAGCUUUAUAUACAGACAAUGUUUAAUAAAAUAAAUAAUUGUUAUAUAUAAAAUAAAUAAAUUUUUAUUGGUCAAAGUAUUCGAUCUUCGAAUCGCACAACUAAUCUAAAGUAAUAUAGAUGUGUGUAUAAAUGAGCGGGCACUGCAUUCAGUGCACUCAAAGAAACAAGUUCCAGUUGUUUAGUUGCAUUUCUGUGGCUUUAAUUUUGAAAUAAAAUGCCUUGCGGAGGUUGCGGUGACAGCUGCAAAUGCACCACUGCCCAGUGCAGCCAAUCGUGCAAAUGCGAUUCAUCAUGCUCUUGCGCAUGCAAGCGAUCCAAGGACGCAGAAGCUUCAGCUAAGAAAUAGCAAGUUCAAGUCCAAUUUUGUGCUUUGUAUCCAAAAAUAAAAAUGUGUUUUUAGUUUUAAGAAAUAAUCGUU
Pieris napi is the source of this 1297-nucleotide long non-coding RNA. RefSeq lists it as uncharacterized. The record is from RefSeq and is a predicted model, not a curated record. Lineage: Eukaryota; Metazoa; Arthropoda; Insecta; Lepidoptera; Pieridae. The transcript has 2 exons.